AUGGGCCACGAGGGCACCAAGUACGGCGAGGACGGCCGCCCCACCUGCGACUGCCUCCUCUUCGACCUUGAUGACACGCUCUACCCGGUGGCCUCCGGCAUCGGCCUGGACGUCAUGAAGAACAUCCAAGAAUACAUGGUCGAGAAGCUCGGCAUCGACAAGAGCGUCAGCCACGAGCUCUGCAUCCUGCUGUACAAGCAGUACGGAACCACCAUGGCCGGUCUGCGGGCUGUUGGGUACCAAUUUGACUACGAUGAUUUCCACGGCUUUGUUCAUGGCAGGCUGGCCUACGAGAAGCUCAAGCCUGACCCAGUACUCAGGAACAUCCUCCUGAGCUUACCAAUCCGCAAACUCGUGUUCACGAAUGGUGACAGGCUGCAUGCUUCGAGGGCCAUGAAGAGGCUUGGGAUCGAGGACUGCUUUGAGGGGGUUCUGUGCUUUGAGACAUUGAACCCGCCAUCGCCCACUCCUGUGCCAUCCAACAAAGUCGAGAUCUUCGAUAUAGUGAAGCACCUGGCUCAUCCAGAGCCUGGGGUUGAGCUGCCAAGGUCACCAAUCCUGUGCAAACCAAACAUAGAUGCAAUGCUGCAUGCCCUCAAGCUUGCCGACAUCAAUCCUCAGACUACUAUAUUUUUCGAUGACAGCGUCAGGAACAUCCAAGCUGGGAAGCAGAUCGGAAUGCACACUGUCCUGGUUGGAACUUCUGAAAGGAUUAAAGGCGCUGACCAUGCCUUGGAGAGCCUUCACAACAUGAAGGAAGCGUUUCCAGAACUGUGGGUGGAGGCUGUGAAGGAUGAGGACGUCAGGAACUCGAGCAAAGUCGGAAUCGAGACAUCAGUGAUCGCGUAA
This 849-nucleotide ribosomal RNA is filed under the name Triticum aestivum (bread wheat). Its description in RNAcentral is "partial small subunit ribosomal RNA". The record is from RNAcentral. Lineage: Eukaryota; Viridiplantae; Streptophyta; Magnoliopsida; Poales; Poaceae.